GCGAACGCUGGCGGCAGGCUUAACACAUGCAAGUCGAGCGCCGUAGCAAUACGGAGCGGCAGACGGGUGAGUAACACGUGGGAACGUACCUCUUGGUUCGGAACAACACAGGGAAACUUGUGCUAAUACCGGAUAAGCCCUUACGGGGAAAGAUUUAUCGCCAAGAGAUCGGCCCGCGUCUGAUUAGCUAGUUGGUGAGGUAACGGCUCACCAAGGCGACGAUCAGUAGCUGGUCUGAGAGGAUGAUCAGCCACACUGGGACUGAGACACGGCCCAGACUCCUACGGGAGGCAGCAGUGGGGAAUAUUGGACAAUGGGCGCAAGCCUGAUCCAGCCAUGCCGCGUGAGUGAUGAAGGCCCUAGGAUUGUAAAGCUCUUUUGUGCGGGAAGAUAAUGACUGUACCGCAAGAAUAAGCCCCGGCUAACUUCGUGCCAGCAGCCGCGGUAAUU
This 450-nucleotide ribosomal RNA is filed under the name uncultured bacterium. RNAcentral describes it as "bacterial SSU rRNA". It matches the Rfam family "Bacterial small subunit ribosomal RNA", at positions 29 to 525 of the family's 1533-position model. The record is from RNAcentral.